GACGAACGCUGGCGGCGUGCUUAACACAUGCAAGUCGAACGGUAAGGCCCUUCGGGGUACACGAGUGGCGAACGGGUGAGUAACACGUGGGUGAUCUGCCCUGCACUUCGGGAUAAGCCUGGGGAACUGGGUCUAAUACCGGAUAGGACCACUGCCUGCAUGGGUGGUGGUGGAAAGCUUUUGCGGUGUGGAUGGGCCCGCGGCCUAUCAGCUUGUUGGUGGGGUGAUGGCCUACCAAGGCGACGACGGGUAGCCGGCCUGAGAGGGUGACCGGCCACAGUGGGACUGAGAUACGGCCCAGACUCCUCCGGGAGGCAGCAGUGGGUAAUAUUGCACAAUGGGCGCAAGCCUGAUGCAGCGACGCCGCGUGAGGGAUGACGGCCUUCGGGUUGUAAACCUCUUUCAGCACCGACGAAGCGCAAGUGACGGUAGGUGCAGAAGAAGGACCGGCCAACUACGUGCCAGCAGCCGCAGUAA
Molecule: ribosomal RNA, 477 nt
Filed under: uncultured bacterium
Lineage: Bacteria
Description: partial 16S ribosomal RNA
Rfam family: Bacterial small subunit ribosomal RNA
Source: RNAcentral